UUAUGGCUCAGUUGGCAGAGCAUGAGACUCUUAAUCUCAGGGUUGUGGGUUCGAGUCACAUGUUGGGCAAAA
RNAcentral lists this transfer RNA (72 nucleotides) under Podarcis lilfordi (Lilford's wall lizard). Its description in RNAcentral is "tRNA.Lys". The stretch from base 4 to 61 matches the Rfam family "tRNA", at positions 8 to 63 of the family's 71-position model. From Rfam's summary of the family: Transfer RNA (tRNA) molecules are approximately 80 nucleotides in length. Their secondary structure includes four short double-helical elements and three loops (D, anti-codon, and T loops). Lineage: Eukaryota; Metazoa; Chordata; Lepidosauria; Squamata; Lacertidae. The record is from RNAcentral.